UUAAUUUAGAGCUCUAGUUUCUAAGAUAAGAAAACAGACAUGUCAUUUGGGGGCAAGAAUAGAAACAAAGUAAACAGAAGAAACAACUUUUUGCAAACAUUCCUGGACAUACUUUCACAGUAUUUGAAAAACCUUUCUUUUUUGCUCAUCUUCUGACUACGCAGUGAACCAAAUUUUGUAAGUUAAAAAUAAAAGAAGUCUUACUGGCUAUUUGCCCUAAACGAAGAGACAUCUUUCCACCCCAAAGCAAGGGCAAAACUAAAAUCCCUAAAUGAAAAGAUGUCAUCUUCUCUUACCACUAUGGUCCCUAGUUAGGAAUUUGAUCACAAGUAAGGAUAACUUGGUGACGCCCAUGUUAUCAGACUCCUCUUGACUUCUCUCUCUUGCACACAUUGAAUGACUUACUGAUUUAUUUUCUCCACAUAAUCAAUGCUUGGCUUCUGUCUCGUGUGCAAUAGGUCUUUGGUAUCAUAUCUUCUUCCCGUUAUUUCAGAUAACUUUGAUGACUACUUAAAUUGUACUUCCCUGGCUAACUUCUCUUUCCUUUCCACUUUUGACUACCAGGGGACAAAUUUUAAUGUUUUACAAUGCAGGAUAUAAUUUUUACGUUCGGCCUAAUAGCUAGAUGAGCUUAGAAAUUUAGGAAAGGUGAAUUGGGCCACUUGGUACUUUUUCAUGUAAGGAAAACAAAUGACUUGUAUGCCUCGGUGUUGCUUCUGGAGGAACUUUCCAGAGCACAAAGCAGUCGGUACUAACUCUUGGUAUGAUGUGAGUCUCUCCAGUCCUGUGAUGUCAACGUGAUAUCUUGCCGGGCCUGAAGAAGUUCGGAUUAGGGUGUGAAUAGGUACCAUCUUUGUUCUUAGAUAUGACUGGUAGGGGCCUUGUUAUUGUUAAAUGCAAGGGUGAUUUUAGUGUUAAUUUGAAUGUAUCAGAAGAGUUUAAGUUAGAAUUCCAAAGAAAUGGAUGAAUCCUUCAAGUCUCAAUUCUCCUCUAUGGUAUGAAAGAAAUAGCCUCUUCUUUUAAAAGAUCCUAAAAUUAUCCCGAAUCACCAGAGCCCAAUGCUGAACAACACAGUCCAUAGUUACCACGAGGAAUAAGGUUAAAAUUCGCUCUCCGGUGACAAAUCCCAACCCGGAACAGAUUUCAGCCAGGCAGCUAGCAGAGCGCGCGGGGUGAACUGCAGAGGCCAUGGUGGGUGCAGAGCUCAGAGCCGGAAAGCAAACAGCUGCUGUAGCCUGAUUUGAGUUAAAAUAGUGUGAGUGUUUAGUCUGGCGCACGGUUUCAGGGGAGAUUGGCAGCUGGGUCAAACAAAGUCCUUCCAUUGGCUCUCUUCCCAGGCGGCUUCUGCUAGUAUUUAGGUACUAGUGCAGUGUAGGGCCCUUUUCUCAGGCAAACGCUAACAUCUGACCGCACCCUCUUUGCUUUUUCCAAAAAAAAAAAAAAAAAAAAAAAGGAAAAAAAAAGAAAAAAAAACAACCUUUUCCUUCUUUCGUUAAGAUAAAUUCUCCAAUAGACAACCUCUCCCACUAAUUGUGUAUUAGCAAUGUAUUUUAUCUUGAGAGCUGACGCACUGGGCUCUCAACGUGGUGUGGAAAGCAGCCUGUUACAGUGCUGGAUUCCUAAAAGGGCCUUUAUGGUUUGUGAAAGAGUAUCUGUGUGCUUAGGCAGGAAACUUUUUGAUCUGCAGAAAAGCCAGAAGACAUCUAGGGUAUCCUUGAAGAUUAAUAAGAGACGUAUUCACGCACCUAUAAAGGGAAAAACUUAAAAUGGAUAUGAGAAGUGAAGAAGGUGAUCAUAGGAGAAAAUCAUCUCAGAUCAACCACUUCAGAAGAACCAGAAUCUACUUCUGUGGCCAGGACUGUUAUGUUAUGGCUGGUCUGAUUGUUAUACCCUGCGUUCUAUGCUACUAAACCUUGGAUCAUUCCUAAAGUACCAAUUCUGUUCUUGAACCACAAACAAGGCUAAAAGAGCGGAGGAAAUUCAGUGAAUAUACAGGAUUGGGAUUGUGUAUUUUCAAAAGUAUUGAGCUUUAUAAUGCAAUUAUUUAAGAAAUAGAAUCUUUUUUUUUUUCUUCUCAUGUUGCCAGCAUUUUAAGUUACAUGUUUAUUGAGUGGCAUUGCUCAAAUAGCUACAGAGUAUGCAUGGAAAUAUUUGCUGUCUGAAUAGUUUGGAGAUUCAGAGAGAAAAAUCAAGCUUU
This is a long non-coding RNA of Lutra lutra (Eurasian river otter), 2197 nucleotides long. RefSeq lists it as uncharacterized. The record is from RefSeq and is a predicted model, not a curated record. The transcript is spliced from 4 exons. Lineage: Eukaryota; Metazoa; Chordata; Mammalia; Carnivora; Mustelidae.